GUCCACACCGUAAACGAUGGAUACUAGGUGUAGGAGGUAUCGACCCCUUCUGUGCCGCAGUUAACACAAUAAGUAUCCCACCUGGGGAGUACGGUCGCAAGACUGAAACUCAAAGGAAUUGACGGGGCCCGCACAAGCAGUGGAGUAUGUGGUUUAAUUCGAAGCAACGCGAAGAACCUUACCUGGUCUUGACAUCCCGAUGACCGCUCUAGAGAUAGAGCUUCUCUUCGGAGCAUCGGUGACAGGUGGUGCAUGGUUGUCGU
This 263-nucleotide ribosomal RNA is filed under the name uncultured bacterium. RNAcentral describes it as "partial 16S ribosomal RNA". It matches the Rfam family "Bacterial small subunit ribosomal RNA", at positions 793 to 1055 of the family's 1533-position model. The record is from RNAcentral.